UACGUAGGUGGCAAGCGUUGUCCGGAUUUACUGGGCGUAAAGAGCGCGCAGGCGGUCGUCCAAGUCGCGUGUGAAAGCCCCCGGCUCAACUGGGGAGGGUCACGCGAUACUGCUCGACUUGAAGGCAGGAGAGGGAAGUGGAAUUCCCGGUGUAGUGGUGAAAUGCGUAGAUAUCGGGAGGAACACCAGUGGCGAAGGCGACUUCCUGGCCUGUUCUUGACGCUGAGGCGCGAAAGCUAGGGUAGCAAACGGG
This 253-nucleotide ribosomal RNA is filed under the name uncultured bacterium. RNAcentral's name for it is "partial 16S ribosomal RNA". It matches the Rfam family "Bacterial small subunit ribosomal RNA", at positions 524 to 776 of the family's 1533-position model. The record is from RNAcentral.